AGAGUUUGAUCCUGGCUCAGAUUGAACGCUGGCGGCAUGCUUUACACAUGCAAGUCGAACGGUAACAGGGUGCUUGCACCGCUGACGAGUGGCGAACGGGUGAGUAAUGCGUCGGAACGCACCGAGUAAUGGGGGAUAACGCUUCGAAAGGAGUGCUAAUACCGCAUACGCUCCGAGGAGGAAAGCGGGGGACCUUANGGCCUCGCGUUAUUCGAGCGGCCGACGUCUGAUUAGCUAGUUGGUGAGGUAAAGGCUCGCCAAGGCGACGAUCAGUAGCGGGUCUGAGAGGAUGAUCCGCCACACUGGGACUGAGACACGGCCCAGACUCCUACGGGAGGCAGCAGUGGGGAAUUUUGGACAAUGGGCGCAAGCCUGAUCCAGCCAUGCCGCGUGUCUGAA
Molecule: ribosomal RNA, 399 nt
Filed under: uncultured Pseudomonadota bacterium
Lineage: Bacteria; Pseudomonadati; Pseudomonadota
Description: bacterial SSU rRNA
Rfam family: Bacterial small subunit ribosomal RNA
Source: RNAcentral